Molecule: ribosomal RNA, 447 nt
Filed under: uncultured bacterium
Lineage: Bacteria
Description: bacterial SSU rRNA
Rfam family: Bacterial small subunit ribosomal RNA
Source: RNAcentral
UCUCCAGACUCCUACGGGAGGCAGCAGUGGGGAAUAUUGCACAAUGGGGGAAACCCUGAUGCAGCGACGCCGCGUGAGCGAUGAAGUAUUUCGGUAUGUAAAGCUCUAUCAGCAGGGAAGAAGAUGACGGUACCUGACUAAGAAGCCCCGGCUAACUACGUGCCAGCAGCCGCGGUAAUACGUAGGGGGCAAGCGUUGUCCGGAUUUAUUGGGUUUAAAGGGUGCGUAGGCGGAAUGCCAAGUCAGCGGUAAAAUCGCGGGGCUCAACCUCGCUCCGCCGUUGAAACUGGCGUUCUUGAGUGGGCGAGAAGUAUGCGGAAUGCGUGGUGUAGCGGUGAAAUGCAUAGAUAUCACGCAGAACUCCGAUUGCGAAGGCAGCAUACCGGCGCCCAACUGACGCUGAAGCACGAAAGCGUGGGUAUCGAACAGGAUUAGAUACCCGCGUAA